GAGUAAAGACUGUUUACCAACGAAAUACACAAGCAGCCCUAUCUAAGAUCCAGAACUUGGGGGUCCCUAACUUUAAAUCGUGGGGUGCGCUGAUUGUUUGGGAUCCGCCUCAAGACUUCAGCCUAGGUCUACCUAGGAGAUACCUCUCAAAGACUGGAGCCAUUCUCGUGUCCAGGCCCAGGUUUGAGGCCGUGAUGACUCAACGCAGCAUCCCCUCCCCUUGCUAAACCACGGUCUCCGCCUACCCCCAAUCAAUCUCAAGGAAGCACUCGGGGCACCAGGAUUCCCAGCACUUAGCUGGUGGGCAAAGGGGCUCAUCCCCCUCCCCACAUCCCACCUUCCCUCCUCCCAGUCUUCAGGAGUGCGGAGCUCCUGCCGGGAUCCAAGAGCAGGCUCUUGGUAGUCGAAGAAGGAUAUAACCUCCAGACCUGGAAUUUUAAGACGCAAGAACCAGCCAGCAAAUGUGGCAGCCGAGCAUGCGAAUGAAGAUGCAGAAGUCUCAGCUCCUUCAGUGCUAUUGUCUGCCAGGAUGCUGCCAUGCUCCCUUCUUGAUGAUAAUGGACUGAACCUCUGACUCUGGAUGAGAAGCUACAGCUUUACUUCUGAAAAUUCACAAAGGAGUCCAUGUUCCAAGAUGAGAGAAAUACCAGAAGCCGAUGGUUAUUCUAUUUGACUGAAUGAAAAGAAAAGGAAGUCGCUUCCUGUCAAUCCUGCUUUGGAUUCCUGGACAGUUUAAGAAGCACCAUUGAUCUGAUCAUUGACACUGAGAAGGAAAUGUCCAUCCACUGAAGACACGUGGGGCUCCUCCCAGUUUGACAUGGGCAGCGGGGUGGGCAGAAGACAGCAGUCCCAGGUACCCAGUACCCAGUUCACAGUGGGUACCUGGCACAGGCAGACAGCAAGCAAUGGGCCAGCAGAAGGAACUGCUUGGUCAGCACAGGUGCUUUCACCAGAUAAAGUGGGGUCACCUUUUAACUCCUCGGGUGGAAUUACCCAACUGGCAGCAAAUUGCUUCUGUGAAAUCUUCUUGCUGUUUGGGAUGUAUCCUUCUAUAGCACAGAAACGGAAACUUCAGCCAGAAGAGUGGAAUUCAGGGACUCCAUGCCAACAGAAACAGAGCUCUGCAUUUGUUUCCUGAGCCUCCUUGCACAUGGAAGGUUUCUUUCCUCACAAGAAACAUGUGUUAAAGGAUACUAAAGUGGCUUUCAGUUUGGGGUUAGAACCUGAAACAGAAAGACAACGGAGACAAACUUCAGCUCAGCUUUCCUAGAUUGGAAAUGAUGCGUGAAUUUUGCUGUUUCUCCCAGAUUUCAGAACAGGUAUGACAUGGUGCUUAAUUUAAUCAUCCAGUGAAUCACCUUUUCUCUGUGGGAUAUUAACACUGAUGUAAGAUGUCUCCAUGUGAGGAACGGGAAAGACUUGAGACACAGAAAAGCUUCCAAGAUUGGUAAAUAGAAUAAUGUGGUCUGUACCCCACUAAUUUUUCUUGCCAUCCCUGAGAGGUCCUGUGGGCUGUAGCGAUGCAUCAUUUAGAUAGCCCCUUCAGCUGGUUCAUGGAAAACUAACAAAAAUUGAUGUUGUUAUCUGAGGUUUUCUUGUGUGAUUUGUCUAACUCUUUACAUUUAUUAAGGGUUUUGCCUUUCUUUAAUAAAAUGGCCCGAUAUUGCCUUC
RNAcentral lists this long non-coding RNA (1671 nucleotides) under Mus pahari (shrew mouse). RNAcentral's name for it is "lncRNA (MGP_PahariEiJ_G0002976.1)". The record is from RNAcentral. Lineage: Eukaryota; Metazoa; Chordata; Mammalia; Rodentia; Muridae.